UUGGUCAAUUCAUAAUCCUUUGUUCUGUAUGGCUCGGACUGAUAUUAAAAAAUAAAAAAAAAGUUCGAGCCAUACAGAACAAAGGAUUAUGAAUUGACCAAUA
Molecule: microRNA precursor, 103 nt
Filed under: Prunus dulcis (almond)
Lineage: Eukaryota; Viridiplantae; Streptophyta; Magnoliopsida; Rosales; Rosaceae
Description: sRNA ncRNA
Source: RNAcentral